CAUCAUCUGUCACCUCUAAAAUUCCUCUACUCUCCAAAUUCUCUCUAACCCUCUCAAAACCCUAGUCUAUCUCACCGUCUCCUACCUCGAGCUCACCGGAAAUCAUGGCUACUCCGGUCAUGAUAACCUCAUCCUCACCCUCUAUUACUCCUAUGUGCUUGAUAUUUGAAGAAUCAGGGCCUUGACCUCGAUGGUUCCCUUUCAGAUCUUCUUAGAUCUGUAGAUCUAUGGCGUCUCCGGCCAUUACUCAGGCAUAUUCGAGCAAUAUGAGUCUUUUCGACUUGGGAUCAGAUUUUCCUAAAGACCUUCCUCAUUUCUUGGGUUUUCUCUGCAAUCCAUGGCUAUUAGAGGUUCUUUCUGAUUUUCUUUUCUUAGAUCUGUCACGUACCUAUGCUCCACUUGAGUUUUCAAAUAAUUUCCCCAAUCUUUCUUUCAACAAUAAUUUUCCUUAAUAUCUUUCUUUUCCGAUCUAGGGUUUUCUAAAAUGUUUAAGUGAUUUUAAAUUUUGCUUUUCCUUUACAUGUACUUGCUCCUAUUGUGUCCUUGUAUUCUUCCUUUUACCAUGCUCUUAUAUGACUAUCUUAGUGUGUUCUUCUAUAUGUGUUUUUUAGCUAUAAUUUUUCUAAUGUUCUUGUGUUCUUCUACUGUAUUUUCCUACUAAGUGCUGAAAGUUCUUUGUUUGCCUUCUACUGAGCCCCAUUUAAGUUUCUUUCAGAAAAUUUUCUAAUGUUCUUGUGUUCUUCUACUGUAUUUUCCUACUAAGUGCUGAAAGUUCUUUGUUUGCCUUCUAUUGAGCCCCAUUUAUGUUUCUUUUAGAAAAAUCCUUAAGCAUGUCUUUCUACUGUUCCAACCGGUAUGUCCAUUAUGUUCAGUGAAUCUCUCUACUGUAUUUUUCUACCGCGUUCUUUAGUGUCCUUACUAUUUUUUCUACUGAACUUUAUUUGAGUUCUUCUAAAAGAGCUUCUUAAGAAUGUUUCCUCUACUAUUCUUAUUAGUAUUUUCCAUUCUAUCCUCUGAAUCCUGCUACUGUUUGCAUGUUACUUCUCUAUCAUGUUUUGUCAUGAUUUCUGAAAGAAGCAUGUUAGAAGCUUCAGCUCUCUUCUGAAACCUCUAUACAUGUGUCGACUCAAUUUCCUUGCCCUCUCUUUAUGUUUUCUGGUUUGUUCGAACUAGGGCUUUAUUUCAAAGAUC
Molecule: long non-coding RNA, 1191 nt
Filed under: Nicotiana benthamiana
Lineage: Eukaryota; Viridiplantae; Streptophyta; Magnoliopsida; Solanales; Solanaceae
Description: long non-coding RNA (NBEN_LNC006112)
Source: RNAcentral